RNAcentral lists this long non-coding RNA (445 nucleotides) under Elaeis guineensis (African oil palm). RNAcentral's name for it is "long non-coding RNA (EGUI_LNC005094)". The record is from RNAcentral. Lineage: Eukaryota; Viridiplantae; Streptophyta; Magnoliopsida; Arecales; Arecaceae.
UACUAAGUUCUAAGCUCUCUAAGCUUUAGAGUUCUCAUCUCUCUAUUACUCACACAACACCUCCACUGUUUUUAUGAGAAUAAUCUAACUUACACAUUGGAGAGCCUUUGCCAGACACUUUGGGACAAGAGGGCUUUUCUAUUUAUAGUAUUUCAGAACCAGAUCCAGCAAUAUUGGAGUGAAAGUCCAACUGUGAUCCUCUUCUCCAACCAUUGAUCAAGUGCAAUCAAUCCAACUACAACCACAUCUAAGUCCCGACAACCAUCAUCCAUUAACUAAAGAGGCACAUCAAGAUCUCCAUCCAACUCCCUCAAUCCAUAUAGUAUCUCGUCAUUCCCUCCAGCAUACUAGCCAACUUGAUGAUUUAGUCAGACUAGAUCCCGAUGAUAAGAGCUAGAGGAAGGAUCUUGAUCCCAUCACCUAAGGUUUAAUCCCACGAUAGCCA